AACGAACGCUGGCGACAUGCCUAACACAUGCAAGUCGAACGAGACCUUCGGGUCUAGUGGCGCACGGGUGCGUAACGCGUGGGAACUUGCCCUUAGGUUCGGAAUAACUCCCCGAAAGGGGUGCUAAUACCGGAUAAUGUCUUCGGACCAAAGAUUUAUCGCCUUUGGAUGGGCCCGCGUUGGAUUAGCUAGUUGGUAGGGUAAAAGCCUACCAAGGCGACGAUCCAUAGCUGGUCUGAGAGGAUGAUCAGCCACACUGGGACUGAGACACGGCCCAGACUCCUACGGGAGGCAGCAGUGGGGAAUAUUGGACAAUGGGCGAAAGCCUGAUCCAGCAAUGCCGCGUGAGUGAUGAAGGCCUUAGGGUUGUAAAGCUCUUUUACCCGGGAUGAUAAUGACAGUACCGGGAGAAUAAGCUCCGGCUAACUCCGUG
RNAcentral lists this ribosomal RNA (433 nucleotides) under uncultured bacterium. RNAcentral's name for it is "partial 16S ribosomal RNA". It matches the Rfam family "Bacterial small subunit ribosomal RNA", at positions 29 to 507 of the family's 1533-position model. The record is from RNAcentral.